UUGCUUUGGCAGCAGGAAUACUAAAAUUGGAAAGAUACAGAGAUUAGCAUGACCCCUGCACAAGGAUGACAUGCAAAUUCGGGAAGCAUUCCAUAUGUUU
This 100-nucleotide small nuclear RNA is filed under the name Notamacropus eugenii (tammar wallaby). The record is from RNAcentral. Lineage: Eukaryota; Metazoa; Chordata; Mammalia; Diprotodontia; Macropodidae.